UUGUGGAGGAGGACGCCGAAGGUGGGGCUAAUGACUGGGGUGAAGUCGUAACAAGGUAGCCGUACCGGAAGGUGCGGCUGGAUCACCUCCUAACAGGGAGACAACAAAAUGUUUAAUAUUAUUAUUUUGUCACCUUAGGUCGAUCGGUAUCUCACGUUCUUAAUUCGUUAAGAAUUUCAUUUCCUAAGUUUUUCUAGGUCACACCCAUUAUUUUUCCUGGGCCAUUAGCUCAGGUGGUUAGAGCGCACCCCUGAUAAGGGUGAGGUCCCUGGUUCAAGUCCAGGAUGGCCCAUAUCUCUAUGUUGGGGGUAUAGCUCAGUUGGUAGAGCGCCUGCUUUGCAAGCAGGAUGUCAGCGGUUCGAGUCCGCUUACCUCCACUGAUUACCACCUCUUCCAUAACCGAUAGAAAGGAAAUGUUUUGAGUUGUGAUCAUUAUUCUGAACGAAUCUAGCUUCCUAAUGAAAUCAUUAAGAUGCUGGACUCAUUGAAUUAAUUUUCAUUGUUUUCAGAGAACCUUGACAACUGCAUAGAUUAUUUUUAAAGACAAUAAGCAUCUUUAAUGAUGCAGAUUUAUUAUUUGUGCGAAUGCAUUAAUAACAAUUCUAUUAAGCUGAUGCUUCAAUUUUGAAGUUAUUGGUCAAGCUACAA
This 648-nucleotide unclassified non-coding RNA is filed under the name uncultured Prochlorococcus sp. RNAcentral's name for it is "partial 16S-23S ribosomal RNA intergenic spacer; may also contain 16S ribosomal RNA and 23S ribosomal RNA". The stretch from base 305 to 377 matches the Rfam family "tRNA". Lineage: Bacteria; Bacillati; Cyanobacteriota; Cyanophyceae; Synechococcales; Prochlorococcaceae. The record is from RNAcentral.